RNAcentral lists this non-coding RNA (629 nucleotides) under Halosimplex carlsbadense 2-9-1. RNAcentral describes it as "Archaeal large subunit ribosomal RNA". It matches the Rfam family "Archaeal large subunit ribosomal RNA", at positions 1436 to 2064 of the family's 2987-position model. Lineage: Archaea; Methanobacteriati; Methanobacteriota; Halobacteria; Halobacteriales; Haloarculaceae. The record is from Rfam by way of RNAcentral.
AGGGUUCCUCAGCACUGUUCGUCAGCUGAGGGUUAGCCGGUCCUAAGUCUCACCGUAAUUCGAAUGAGACGAAAUGGGAAGCAGGUUAACAUUCCUGCGCCGCUGUCAACUAAAAGUCGACGCCUUGGGUUCACCUGAGCCGGGCAAUCGCCCGGUCGAACUAUCCAACUCCGUGGAAGCCGUAAUGGCACGAAGCGGACGAACGGUAGGAUAGCGAAAGUCAGGCUAGCCUGGGGCCCGUGAAAAGACGAUGACAGUGUCCGUACCGAGAACCGACACAGGUGCUCAUGGCGGAGAAAGCCAAGGCCUGUCGGGAUCAAUCGACGUUAGGGAAUUCGGCAAUCUAGUCCCGUACCUUCGGAAGAAGGGAUGCCUGCCUCGGGAAGAGGCAGGUCGCAGUGACUNACAGAGCAAUUGUGUAGGUCGGCGUUCUGAUCGGGUGGAAGCACGGCCGAGAGUUCGUGUGGACCGAUUUGAAACGAAAAUCCUGGUCAUAGUAGUAGCGACAGUCGGGUGCGAAUCCUGACGGCCAAAAGAGCUAGGGUUCCUCAGCACUGUUCGUCAGCUGAGGGUUAGCCGGUCCUAAGUCUCACCGUAAUUCGAAUGAGACGAAAUGGGAAGCAGGUUAA